GGCUUAUUUUUCUACUAAUUGGGAUUGAUUUCUGUUUUUCAACUUUUUAUGUAUUUAGCCAUUUCGUUUUUGUUUCAGCAUGGCUUUAUAUUUCCUCGUACAAUCUAUUGAUAUUCUGAUUGUCAUUUUGGUUCUGCACGUUGGAAAUAAAUAAAUAGUCCUCCCCUAAUCGUUCGAACUAGAUAAAAGUCCUCCUCUAAUAAUUUGAAUGUCGAAAAAUAUUGAUAAAAUUUACAUUAAUCAACAAAUGAGCUAAGCGUAUGAGUAAAACAUCAGUGUUGUUUUAGACACAAUUUUGCAAAAAAAAUAUAAUUUG
RNAcentral lists this long non-coding RNA (316 nucleotides) under Mytilus galloprovincialis (Mediterranean mussel). The record is from RNAcentral. Lineage: Eukaryota; Metazoa; Mollusca; Bivalvia; Mytilida; Mytilidae.